This 631-nucleotide ribosomal RNA is filed under the name uncultured Gammaproteobacteria bacterium. RNAcentral's name for it is "partial 16S ribosomal RNA". It matches the Rfam family "Bacterial small subunit ribosomal RNA", at positions 1 to 604 of the family's 1533-position model. The record is from RNAcentral. Lineage: Bacteria; Pseudomonadati; Pseudomonadota; Gammaproteobacteria.
ACGUCGCAUGCUCCGGCCGCCAUGGCGGCGCGGGAAUUCGAUUAGAGUUUGAUCAUGGCUCAGAUUGACGCUGGCGGCAGGCCUAACACAUGCAAGUCGAGCGGCAACGGGGGAAGCUUGCUUCCCUGCCGGCGAGCGGCGGACGGGUGAGUAAUGUCUGGGGAUCUGCCCGAUGGAGGGGGAUAACCACUGGAAACGGUGGCUAAUACCGCAUAACCUCUUUGGAGUAAAGUGGGGGACCUUCGGGCCUCACGCCAUCGGAUGAACCCAGAUGGGAUUAGCUAGUAGGUGGGGUAAUGGCUCACCUAGGCGACGAUCCCUAGCUGGUCUGAGAGGAUGACCAGCCACACUGGGACUGAGACACGGCCCAGACUCCUACGGGAGGCAGCAGUGGGGAAUAUUGCACAAUGGGCGCAAGCCUGAUGCAGCCAUGCCGCGUGUAUGAAGAAGGCCUUCGGGUUGUAAAGUACUUUCAGCGGGGAGGAAGGCAACAGCGUAAAUAGCGCUGUUGAUUGACGUUACCCGCAGAAGAAGCACCGGCUAACUCCGUGCCAGCAGCCGCGGUAAUACGAAUCACUAGUGAAUUCGCGGCCGCCUGCAGGUCGACCAUAUGGGAGAGCUCCCAACGCGU